AGCUUUACACAGUGGCAGUUUCAUAGCCAAUAAGGUUUGUCUGAGGAACAAUUAUUGUUAAUUGGAAACUUUUCCCAAUACCCUGCUGUGAUAACUUAAAAUAUUGGCAUUGGCAAACUUAUCAAGUUAUGUCUUACCCUGAUUUUACAUA
RNAcentral lists this small nuclear RNA (151 nucleotides) under Sorex araneus (European shrew). RNAcentral describes it as "U4 spliceosomal RNA (ENSSARG00000018227.1)". The stretch from base 1 to 135 matches the Rfam family "U4 spliceosomal RNA". Rfam says of the family: U4 small nuclear RNA (U4 snRNA) is a component of the major U2-dependent spliceosome. The structure of U4 snRNA from yeast and human has been reported. U4 snRNA presents a k-turn RNA motif in the 5p-SL related to recognition of Snu13 protein. Lineage: Eukaryota; Metazoa; Chordata; Mammalia; Eulipotyphla; Soricidae. The record is from RNAcentral.